Molecule: ribosomal RNA, 777 nt
Filed under: uncultured Neocallimastigales
Lineage: Eukaryota; Fungi; Neocallimastigomycota; Neocallimastigomycetes; Neocallimastigales
Description: partial large subunit ribosomal RNA
Rfam family: Eukaryotic large subunit ribosomal RNA
Source: RNAcentral
UAUCUCUGUAGAGUCUGCAUAUCAAUAAGCGGAGGAAAAGAAACUAACAAGGAUUCCCUUAGUAACGGCGAGUGAAGCGGGAAGAGCUCAAAUUUGAAAUCUUUAAGGUUCUACCUUGACGAAUUGUAGUUUAAAGAAGUGUUUUCUGUUAGAUGAGUAGCAAAAGUUCCUUGGAAUGGGACAUCAUAGAGGGUGAGAAUCCCGUAUUUGGUUAUUCAUUCUAGCUUUGUGAUACACUUUCAAAGAGUCGGAUUGUUUGGGAAUGCAGUCCAAAAUGGGUGGUAAAUUUCAUCUAAAGCUAAAUAUUGGCGAGAGACCGAUAGCGAACAAGUACCGUGAGGGAAAGAUGAAAAGAACUUUGAAAAGAGAGUUAAACAGUACGUGAAAUUGUCAAAAGGGAAGCGUUUGACACCAGUGUUGUUUUUCCAGAAAAUCAAUUACGAAUGGCUUGAUUUUGUGUUGUAUUGACCUUAUCAGCUUUCUUCACUUUUUUUCGAGUCUUUCUUAAUGCACUUUUUCGGUUAACAAGUCAACAUCAAUUUCUUUUGUUGUAAAAGAGUAUUCGGAAGGUGGCUUUCUUUUCGGAGAAAGUGUUUAUAGCCCUAUACUUCUACAAUCGGAGAGAUUGAGGUCUGCAGCGUAGAUCCUUCGGGGUUAGAUACACUUGUGCUAAGUUGUAGCUUUUCAUAGACAACUUGUUGACUAUGUUUAGUCAUGCGGCUUACUCGCUUGUGCUAUUUUACCUACGCUUAGGAUGUUGACGAGACUGUCGAUCUC